UGUUCCACAUGAGCGCAUGCGAGUGUGGGAAAGGCUUUUUGCGGCAUGGGAUGGGGUCGCGUCCUAUCAGCUUGUUGGUGGGGUAACGGCCUACCAAGGCGUUGACGGGUAGCCGGCCUGAGAGGGCGACCGGCCACAUUGGGACUGAGAUACGGCCCAGACUCCUACGGGAGGCAGCAGUGGGGAAUAUUGCACAAUGGGCGCAAGCCUGAUGCAGCGACGCCGCGUGGGGGAUGACGGCCUUCGGGUUGUAAACUCCUUUCGCUAGGGACGAAGCGCAAGUGACGGUACCUGGAGAAGAAGCACCGGCUAACUACGUGCCAGCAGCCGCGGUAAUACGUAGGGUGCGAGCGUUGUCCGGAAUUACUGGGCGUAAAGAGCUCGUAGGUGGUUUGUCGCGUCGUUUGUGUAAGCCCGCAGCUUAACUGCGGGACUGCAGGCGAUACGGGCAUAACUUGAGUGCUGUAGGGGAGACUGGAAUUCCUGGUGUAGCGGUGGAAUGCGCAGAUAUCAGGAGGAACACCGAUGGCGAAGGCAGGUCUCUGGGCCGUCACUGACGCUGAGGAGCGAAAGCGUGGGGAGCGAACAGGAUUAGAUACCCUGGUAGUCCACGCCGUAAACGGUGGAUGCUGGAUGUGGGGCCCCUUCCACGGGUCCCGUGUCGGAGCCAACGCGUUAAGCAUCCCGCCUGGGGAGUACGGCCGCAAGGCUAAAACUCAAAGAAAUUGACGGGGGCCCGCACAAGCGGCGGAGCAUGCGGAUUAAUUCGAUGCAACGCGAAGAACCUUACCUGGGCUUGACAUGUGCCUGACGAUCCCGGAGACGGGGUUUCCCUUCGGGGCGGGUUCACAGGUGGUGCAUGGUCGUCGUCAGCUCGUGUCGUGAGAUGUUGGGUUAAGUCCCGCAACGAGCGCAACCCUCGCCGCGUGUUGCCAGCGGGUCAUGCCGGGAACUCACGUGGGGCCGCCGGGGUUAACUCGGAGGAAGGUGGGGAUGACGUCAGAUCAUCAUGCCCCUUACGUCCAGGGCUUCACGCAUGCUACAAUGGCCGGUACAACGGGGUGCGACACGGUGACGUGGGGCGGAUCCCUGAAAACCGGUCUCAGUUCGGAUCGCAGUCUGCAACUCGACUGCGCGAAGGUGGAGUCGCUAGUAAUCGCGGAUCAGCAACGC
RNAcentral lists this ribosomal RNA (1173 nucleotides) under uncultured Bifidobacterium sp. RNAcentral's name for it is "bacterial SSU rRNA". It matches the Rfam family "Bacterial small subunit ribosomal RNA", at positions 173 to 1357 of the family's 1533-position model. The record is from RNAcentral. Lineage: Bacteria; Bacillati; Actinomycetota; Actinomycetes; Bifidobacteriales; Bifidobacteriaceae.